Molecule: ribosomal RNA, 465 nt
Filed under: Vreelandella stevensii
Lineage: Bacteria; Pseudomonadati; Pseudomonadota; Gammaproteobacteria; Oceanospirillales; Halomonadaceae
Description: partial 16S ribosomal RNA
Rfam family: Bacterial small subunit ribosomal RNA
Source: RNAcentral
CCUACGGGGCGCUGCAGUGGGGAAUAUUGGACAAUGGGCGAAAGCCUGAUCCAGCCAUGCCGCGUGUGUGAAGAAGGCCUUCGGGUUGUAAAGCACUUUCAGUGGGGAAGAAAGCCUUGGGGCUAAUACCCUCGAGGAAGGACAUCACCCACAGAAGAAGCACCGGCUAACUCCGUGCCAGCAGCCGCGGUAAUACGGAGGGUGCGAGCGUUAAUCGGAAUUACUGGGCGUAAAGCGCGCGUAGGCGGUCUGGUAAGCCGGUUGUGAAAGCCCCGGGCUCAACCUGGGAACGGCAUCCGGAACUGUCAGGCUAGAGUGCAGGAGAGGAAGGUAGAAUUCCCGGUGUAGCGGUGAAAUGCGUAGAGAUCGGGAGGAAUACCAGUGGCGAAGGCGGCCUUCUGGACUGACACUGACGCUGAGGUGCGAAAGCGUGGGUAGCAAACAGGAUUAGAUACCCGGGUAGUC